ACUUCAAUCGUUCGCCCGUCGAAAUCCGGGUGGCACCCUCCGACUGAAAACAGAGAAGGCUGUUUGGUUUUUCCCCAACUUCGCACCCAACGUUUAACCUUGGGGAAAGGAGGGAAAUCGGGGGGGGGGGGGGGGGAAAAAAAAAUCCGCGCUAGUCUCGAUCAUCCCCCUGCUGUCCAUUUUCUUCACUCGGCUCGGAAGGAGUUAAAAGCCAACACCCAAUUUUUUUUUCUUCCACCGCCCCCCCCUCCAAAAAAAGCCCCCAAGUUUGCUCUUUGGAGGGGCCGUUGUUUUUGCAGAGGGAGGCACCGUCGGUCGACCUGCCCCCCCCCCCGCUCCCCUCCGCAAAACGCAGCCGCCCAAAAGCCCCCCCCCCGGGGGUCGUUUCCUCCCCUCCGAUGUGGGGGUGCAGGGGCGGCUUUGCAGCCGAAAGGAACAAAGUGUCCCCCCCCCUUUUUUGGCAGCCCCCUCCCUUGGGGCGGCUCCAUCUCCUACCUGCAGGACCUGCUUCGCCGCCCCCCCCCCCAGUCUGCAGUGUCCGCCUGCCACCGCAGCCCCCUCAACUUUACCUUUCUGGGGGGGGGGGGUCGCCCCCCAUCAUCCGCACUGCCUCCCCCCAACCGUGCUGGGGAGGGACCGGACCCGAGCGACGGAGCCGCCCCCCCCGCCUCCACCCGCAGCUCAAGGACGUUUUGUUUUUCGUCCCAAGGACAAAGGACCAUCCAAGGUGCGGGGGGACUUACCCGCUCCCGAGAAGAAGGCGGCGGCGGGUCCGGGAGCCCCAAGCGAAGCGGCGGCUCCGGACGGUUCCCUCCCGCGGGCAGGCCCGGCUCCGGCGGCCCCCGCCCCUGCGGCCGAGCGGGUCCGGCGGGGCGCCGGGCUGACAGGUCGGGGGCCGCCGCCGCCGCUGCUGCUGCCUCUCCGGCCAUCUUGCGCCGUGUGUGUGAGGGCUGUCUCUCGCCCGUCUCCUCGCUCAGCAUUCCUCCCUCCUCCUCCUUCCCCCCCGCCCCCCGGCCUCCCCCCCUCCCCACACACCACAAAACAUGGCCCCUUCGCUGCGGUGGAAGAGGCUGCAGCGACAGCGGGAGCUGCUCCUCCGCCGCCGCCGCCGCCUCCCCGCCCCCUCCGCCAUCGGCCUCCUCUUCUCCCCUCUCCCCUCCCUCACGCAGCCCCACUCGCCCCCCAACUGACGCACCGGCGCGCGCCUGCGCCGCACGCGCCGCUCCCCAUUGGCUCGGCCCCCUCGCGCCCCGCCCGGCCCCUCCGCCAAUCCCCUCCCCGCUGCGGCCGCGCGGGAGCCCCCCCCUCCCUCCCCCGCUCCCCCCGCCCGCCCCGCCUCUGCUCUGA
Molecule: long non-coding RNA, 1347 nt
Filed under: Ornithorhynchus anatinus (platypus)
Lineage: Eukaryota; Metazoa; Chordata; Mammalia; Monotremata; Ornithorhynchidae
Description: lncRNA (ENSOANG00000049563.1)
Source: RNAcentral